CAGGGGAAAAAUCUGUGAUUGACCUGGCUGAGACCUUCGCCCCAUACGCUUCUGGGCAUCCCGAGAGAUCCAAGACUCUGGGGUCCAUCCGGGGAGUGGCUGUGGAGCAGCUAAGAGGGGAAGUGGGCAUUAGACAUGUCCUCUCUGGAAAGAAAAAGGUGAACACCCAGGAGAAGAGCUAGCAGGGAGAAGGAGGAGCGGGCCAAUCACGAAGGAGAAAGUCCUAGAUGGAGCCUUCUCAUCCUCAGAAACCACACUGGUUAAAUCAGUGGAUCUUAACUUUGGCUGCAUAUCGGCAUCACCACAGGAAGUUUCAAAAAUUCCAGUGCCUGAGUCCCACCACAGGGUCUUUGGUGGCUCAGAUGAACCAAUCCCAGUGCCUUCUAACAGUUGGAGAGUAAGAAGGAUCCUGGAGCGGGGGAACUUCUGACAGCUCCUGCUCAUCCCCGGAGAAGACAGAAGCCCAUCACCUGGUACACUUCAGAGGAACACGCACCUGACAGCCAAGGAGAACUGGGCAGUAGUCCUCGGAUGUUGGGCGUCAUUUUCCGUGGGCAGUUGGGAGUCACUGUGCUUCUCCCACAAAAACUCUUCUCACAGUCCAACUUGUAUACAAACCCAUCAGACUGCUAGCCCCAGGGCAGGUACCUACCUAUCUUCCUGUCCCAGUACUGAGGGGCUCAAUAACUAUUGUUAACCUGAAGACACCGAAAACCUUGACAGCGCUGAGCUUGUUACAGCACCAUCUUGCUGUGUGUCCAUGUGCAGGUGCAACUGUACGUGAGAUCAGCGGCCAACCACCACCCUUUCCCAGGCCACACUCCAUCAGCAAGAGACUAUGCUACACCCCAAGACGAGAUGCAGCCAAUAAACAUGUCUAUGUAUUGACCUGAAAAAGAUGUCUUC
Molecule: long non-coding RNA, 906 nt
Filed under: Homo sapiens (human)
Lineage: Eukaryota; Metazoa; Chordata; Mammalia; Primates; Hominidae
Description: HSALNT0312004
Source: RNAcentral